UACGUAGGGCGCAAGCGUUAUCCGGAAUCAUUGGGCGUAAAGCGCGUGUAGGCGGCUCGGUAAGUCUGCUCUGAAAGUCCAAGGCUCAACCUUGGGAUGCGGGUGGAUACUGCCGGGCUCGAGUCCGGAAGAGGCGAGUGGAAUUCCUGGUGUAGCGGUGAAAUGCGCAGAUAUCAGGAGGAACACCAAUGGCGAAGGCAGCUCGCUGGGACGUGACUGACGCUGAGACGCGAAAGCGUGGGGAGCAAACAGG
RNAcentral lists this ribosomal RNA (253 nucleotides) under uncultured bacterium. Its description in RNAcentral is "partial 16S ribosomal RNA". It matches the Rfam family "Bacterial small subunit ribosomal RNA", at positions 524 to 776 of the family's 1533-position model. The record is from RNAcentral.